This 256-nucleotide ribosomal RNA is filed under the name uncultured bacterium. RNAcentral describes it as "partial small subunit ribosomal RNA". It matches the Rfam family "Bacterial small subunit ribosomal RNA", at positions 26 to 285 of the family's 1533-position model. The record is from RNAcentral.
AGGACGAACGCUGGCGGCGUGCUUAACACAUGCAAGUCGAGCGGAAAGGCCCUUCGGGGUACUCGAGCGGCGAACGGGUGGGUAACACGUGAGCAACCUGCCCUUAGCUCUGGGAUAGCUCCGGGAAACCGGAAUUAAAUACCGGAUAUUACACCGGCUGACAUCGGCUGGUGUGGAAAGAUUUAUCGGCUAAGGAUGGACUCGCGGUCUAUCAGCUUGUUGGUGGGGUAGUGGCCUACCAAGGCGACGACGGGUA